Small nucleolar RNA from Vitis vinifera (wine grape), 108 nucleotides. It matches the Rfam family "Plant small nucleolar RNA R71". Rfam says of the family: R71 is a member of the C/D box family of snoRNAs containing the C (UGAUGA) and D (CUGA) box motifs. Multiple nearly identical copies of this snoRNA have been identified in Arabidopsis, and it is thought to function as a 2'-O-ribose methylation guide for 18S ribosomal RNA. The record is from Rfam. Lineage: Eukaryota; Viridiplantae; Streptophyta; Magnoliopsida; Vitales; Vitaceae.
UAACCAUGAUAGGGACAGGAGUUAAUUAAAUCUUGAUAUCUCUCCCAAUACUCAUAGAAUGACUCUUUUUCAUUUUGUUUAAAAAAAUGAUUUUCCUUCUAAGAGUCA